Molecule: long non-coding RNA, 1515 nt
Organism: Podarcis raffonei (Aeolian wall lizard)
Lineage: Eukaryota; Metazoa; Chordata; Lepidosauria; Squamata; Lacertidae
Exons: 5
Source: RefSeq, a predicted model, not a curated record
UUUUGUCUUAUCUGAUGCUGAAACUCUUCCAUGCAGCUUUGACCGCAGAAGCACGCAAGAAAGAAAUCGGUUGGAAAUUUGUUCAUGUCUACCUCUAUGCUUGACAUUUCUUCGCUGAUAAGGCGUCAAGGAAGAAGUGUAUUUUAAAUGUGAGUUGUAACUUUCAUGUUAACGGCUGGAUCCAGAGAAGCUUUUCCAAUCUGAGGGUCUUUUUUCCAGUGGAGGCAGCAGUCAUCCCAAGGAGAUGACAUCCUUUCCUCCAAUGGAAGAUAUUCCAUUGUAAAUGAACAUAUUUUAAGAACCCUGCAACUGCUUUCUACAGCAAGUUUUGAGGAAACCAAUGCUGCAUUUGAGAAAGAAAUUCCCUGGCCUGGGAAAAAUGUUUUCCCACCCAAAUGAAAUUCCAAGGAUCUGUUAUGCAUACCUGCUUAUAUGCUGCACACUGCUACAACUCUCUGGAUCCUUCAAUUUAAUCUCCCUAUCUUGUCUCUUAGCCGCUCCUUUAUCAUGGUGCCACCUUCAUGUUACAGACGAAAAUGACAGGAGGUCAGCACCAGAGACCAGACUCUCUGAAUGCCAUACUGAAUUUUAAACUGGCAACUUGAUUGUGUUCCUUUAGAAACACAUCUUAGCUUUUGAAAAAGAAAAAUACGGAGAGGUAUCUGCUAUAUGAAAUCCUAACAGUAUGUCCACUUUCGAGAAAGUUCCUUUGAAGGAGUCAAAUGCAUACCAUAAAAUAGUUAUUUCAUCAGGUGUGUGGAGUUUUUUGGACGGAGAAAUCUCUCUCUUUCAAUCAUCCUCUCCCCUAUUUAUAUUUUUUUUUUAAUGAUAGGGAGUUGUGAAGUCUGUUGUCUCCAAUGCAAGCGAUCUCAUUUAAAUACAUAUGCCUUUGCCUUGCAUUGUGUGAGCAGCCAUGGAGUCCCUGUCCCUGCAAAGCCUGGCCAUCUAGGGUAUAUGAAUAAAUGGACACCACAAUGGUCAGGGAUUAAAAGGCCACAACUUUAUUGAUUUCAGAGGUAGGUAAAUCUUUGGCAUAGGCACUGGGCAUUGCCUAGGAAUGGACCUGAGGGAAGACUGCAUCCCUAAGGUCCGCUCCCCAAACCCCACCCUCCAGACCGCCACGGAAAGGCCGAUUUGAAUGGUGGGCUUGGUGGAGGUCCACGCACCCCCGUGGCAGCCAGGGAGGAGUGGCAAUGGCCACUUGUAAAAUGGCGAGACUCUGUGGGGAGGGGAGGCGCUGUGGUGGGCCGCAACUACCACUCACCAUGGAGAGAGGUAAGUGGCCAUUUCUCACUAUAUCAUAUGUGUAUCUCCACACAUUUGGAGUAGCUGUACUCUCAUUUGCAUCUCCUUCUUUUGGUGGGAAUUAGAGGCAGAAAACGUGAAUAGGAUUCUCACAUAAGGUAAUUAGAACUCGGGACAAAGGCUUUUAUAAGCAUUCUGGAUGUGCUGGGGGGAAUUAAAGGGCUGAGCAGAUUUUCAAACUAUGCCCCACUCUCAGCUCACAGUCCUCCU